AAAUGAUGAUCUCAACAAUCCGGGAUUAAGUAAAAUGGAAGAGCAAAUGGAAUUUUGAUGAAAGAAGUAAACAACAAACAACUAAGAACUACAUAAGAUAUACAGUACAUCAAAAGCGUGCUGACACAAAGACAGCUCUAAAACAUCUUCUCCAUAAUAGCGGUUGCUCAAAGGUUUCAUUCCAGGAUGAAGUUCCAAAAUGGAAAUUUGAGGGA
Molecule: long non-coding RNA, 215 nt
Organism: Hibiscus syriacus
Lineage: Eukaryota; Viridiplantae; Streptophyta; Magnoliopsida; Malvales; Malvaceae
Exons: 4
Source: RefSeq, a predicted model, not a curated record